UCUCCUGGGAGGGUUUAUAUGUUAAGCUCUGUCAGUAAUUUCUCCCCUAGCAAGAAUGAGGGAGAUGAAGAGCUCGGGUAUCUGAGGGCUGGUGUGUCUGCAUGCGUGUGUGUUUUGGGGGCCGACUGAAGGAAGAGAAGGCUGGAGAGAGGGAACAUGGGUCUGAGGGCACAUCGCUAAGGGGUCAAGAGGCCUAAAGGGGGAGUCUAAGGCUCUCCAUCGAACUUGGACUUGGUCUACAUUAGACUUUAACCUCCAUGAGGCUUGGACUUUCAGGCUUCCUCCCUCACACCGCGGGCAGGUGAGGCGUCUGCUACAGGCCUGGUCUCGCAGAGGGGGCCCAGCGCCCCCCGCCGCCGCCUUCUCCUGGAGUCUGUGUGACAGAAUGGGACCUGUGGGAAAGCAGCACGUCAGCACCCAGCCCCGCUUGCGCGCCAGCAGCUAAUUAAAGCCAGGAAGGUGAUGGCGAUUUUCAACUCAUUCCCGUUACAAACAGCCGACCUUCCUACCGAGUUCAAGUACCUUCUGCCUGGCCUGGAAGAACAAUAUCUCUCUGUCUCCCUCUUCCACUGGCCCUCACCUGCCUUCCCCUGAACAUGCAUUUUGCCUGACAGGAGGCAGAGGCAGUUGAGAUGGAGUCUUGCUAUAUGGCCCAGCUGGUAAUAAUGCCUAGAUUCUUGAGUCCCUCCCUGGCUCAUCCCUGGGAGCAGCACUGAACCUCAUGUCUGACACCUGUCUGGAAAUGGAGCCUGCACAUUGACCCUAGGUGCUUGCAGCUUGGUCCAGGAGGCCAGCGGGACCAGACAGAAGACCACAGCGACACAUGGGGAUGGCUGUCCCACAGGCAGAAAUGAGCAGCCGGGAGGAAGCCCAUGCAGCCAGCCACCCAGCUCCCUCCACAUCGUGGCCCUAGAAUGGAGUCUUGAAGAAUAAGAAGCCACAGCUUGUCAGGGAAUCAGGCUGGAAAAAUGUUAUGAGACUGAGUAAGACCAGAGAUUCCUCAGCAGUGCCUGGAGAAGACCAGGAGAGGAAGCAGAAGACCCUCCUCAAAGAAGCAGCCUUCACCUCCAGACCUCCCAGCGGGACUUAGACAAUGGGGUUAGGCAGUCACAUGUCUGCACGUGGAAACUUUCUGGGACUGCGCUUGGAUCCUGGCUCUGCCUUUUACUAGCCAUGUGACCUUGGGAAAAUCACUUGACUUCUCCAUGCAGGAUUCCUCAUCUGUAAAAACGGUCUAAGAUUAGGAGCCACCUCAAGGUUGUUGUGGGAAUUAAAUUAAUUCAUGUUUAUAAAGUGCUUUGAACAGCGUUUGGCACAUGGAGAAUUGAAUGAGCAAACGGAAGAGCGGCAACCCUGAGUUAUAUUUCUCAAGACACCGGGGCUCUUGAUGGCACAGCAGCAGCUUGCUAGAGCUUGGUAAAGAGACUUGGGCCUGGUACCUGAAGGGCAAUUCCUUGGCCAUGACAUUGUAGGGAAAGACCUCUAUGGGUGUUGAAAAGACAAGGCGAGGACAAGAAGAGUUGAAAAGGAGCUGUUCUGAAGCCACCUGGCUGUGGAUGGAGGAAGCCACAUGUAGCUUAGGUAGCCUGCUAUUGUAAUUUUUUCUGCAACUGAAGAAUUCAAAAUGGGUUUGGUGGGUAGCGAAGGGCAGAAUCUGGCUUCAAGGUGACAGAGUUUGCAUAGAGAUGGCCUUCUUGAGCAAAGGUAGUGACUCCUACAUUUUUUUUUUGUAGAGUUAUGAUACCCAUGAGUUAGUCAGCUUGGGCUAUCAUAACAAAAUACCACACAUUGGUUGGCUUAAACAACAGAAAUUCAUUUUCCUGUAAUUCUGGAGCCUGGAAGUCCAAGAUCAAGGUGACGACAGAGUUGGGCUUCCUCUGAAGCCUCUCUCCUUGGUUUUCAAAUGGGCGUCCUCUUGCUGUCUCUUCACGUGACUGUCCCUCUGCAUGUGUGCCCCUGGGGACUCUUCCUUAUCUUAUAAUGACACUAGUUCUAUUGGAUUGAAGUGUACCCAUACGACCUCAUUUAAACUUAAUUACAUAUUGUAAGGCCCUAACUCCAAAUACAGUCACAUCCUGAGGUACUGUGGAUUAGGGCUUCAACAUAUAAAUUUUGGGGCAAUCCAGUUCAGCCCAUAAAAUCCCUUUUUGGUUGCUUAAUUCUGUUUAUUUGGUGUCAUGCCUUCCUUUUCCUAAAGAACUUCAUGAAUAGAAUUACUUUCUAAGUGAAAGGAACAAAACUGAUUUUUAUUAAAAAUUAUUUUGAGAUGCUUGUGACAAAUUUUGAAGUAAGUGAAGAUUUUCCUGGAGCUUCUACAAAAUCCUGGCUGAGAAUCCCUGCUUUCUGGACAGUUGAGAAGGAAACACACUUAGUACAGCUGUUAGAGAGAUAUAGUUGCAACCACUGAGUGCUUAUUAUCUGCCAACUUAAAUAUAUUGCCCAAGGGAAUAACAAAUAUUCUAGUAUUCUUGUUAAGUAUAUUGUCUAAGGUCACACAGCUCUUAAACAACAGCUCCGGGAUUUGAACCUGGAAUCUAUCUGACUCCUAAGUCCAGAUGCUGUUCACCACAUUAGGUUGAAGCAUGGCCAGUGUUCAUAACAUACAACUAUGUCUCCAUAUCUUUUGCUAACCAAUGUUCUUGUGUGUGCAUACCUUACAGGGCAGCCAUUCACCACAAGCCGUACUAGAUGGCUUCCUGUAAUAAGGGUAGAACAGUAGUACUCUCCUUUUGAGAAGUUAUUUGUAAUUUUGUUGGUGGGCUGACAUUUAGGCCCUGCUCUCCAGCCCCAGAGGGGAUCCCAUAACCUAGAUCAGGCCAAUGAUGAUUAUCUCCAUGACUGUAGUGGCUGGUCCAGCGGGGAGGGUCAGGCAGGUAAGCUGGCCCAACCUGAGUCCUUCUUGAGGAUUUUAGAAACUGAAGGUAGGAGAGAAAAAUUCUCUCUUUUCUUCUGGGGAACAGGAUGAAGGUGGUGGGUAGGCAGAGCUGUUGGGAUGUGGAUCCAGGGAUCCUGGAAGGCUUGUCCUCCACCAUGUAAAGAAUACAUCCUGCGGAAGGAGAGAAGGGAGCCAGCACACAGAGAAGCAGAGUCAGGAGAUGGAGAAGGAGAAUCCUGAGAGCCUGAAGGUCACUGGGUCCAGCCAUUGUCAAGGCCUAGUUCUACCGUCCUUAAGUUUUUUACCUUUCUUGCUUGCUUGCUUCUGUUAGAUGAACACUCAAUGAAAAAUCACCAAACAUCUGAGGAAAGCCAUCAAAAUGAAAUAAACAAAACAAACAAGUUCCUAAACACAAGUGAACAGCGUGGGCUGGGUUUUUGUCACUUGGAACUGGAAACGCUGACUAUAAUGCUGACCUCUGAGCAGACCCACGUGAGGGGCAGCUGUGGUGUGGUGUGAUGAUGCUGGGAUAGGCAAUCAGAUGGUUGAGUCUGAGUUUGGCUCUGAUAUUAUAUCAACUGCAUCAUUUUGGGGAAGACACAAUUUCUCAGAAUUUUAUUUAGUUGUAAAAUAAAGAUAAUGAUAUUACAUG
Molecule: long non-coding RNA, 3527 nt
Organism: Pan troglodytes (chimpanzee)
Lineage: Eukaryota; Metazoa; Chordata; Mammalia; Primates; Hominidae
Exons: 6
Source: RefSeq, a predicted model, not a curated record